ACUUAAAUAGCUUAAAUUAUAGAGCAUAACGUUGAAGGUGUUAAAGUGAUAAACUUAUCUUUAAGUU
Molecule: transfer RNA, 67 nt
Filed under: Amphioctopus aegina
Lineage: Eukaryota; Metazoa; Mollusca; Cephalopoda; Octopoda; Octopodidae
Description: tRNA-Phe
Source: RNAcentral